CAGAACAUAGCUUAAAUAAAGCAUUUUGCUUACACCAAAAAAAUAUUUAUCAACUAAAUUGUUCUG
RNAcentral lists this transfer RNA (66 nucleotides) under Oedipina tomasi. RNAcentral describes it as "tRNA-Val". The record is from RNAcentral. Lineage: Eukaryota; Metazoa; Chordata; Amphibia; Caudata; Plethodontidae.